This 440-nucleotide ribosomal RNA is filed under the name uncultured archaeon. RNAcentral's name for it is "bacterial SSU rRNA". It matches the Rfam family "Archaeal small subunit ribosomal RNA", at positions 325 to 766 of the family's 1478-position model. The record is from RNAcentral.
ACGGGGUGCAGCAGGCGCGAAAACUUCACANUGCGGGAACCCGUGAUGAGGGAACCCCAAGUGCCUGGGCAUUAGCUCAGGCUGUUCNCCUGUCUAAAAAACAGGUGAAGUAAGGGCUGGGUAAGACCGGUGCCAGCCGCCGCGGUAAUACCGGCAGCCCAAGUGGUGNCCCUUUUUAUUGAGCCUAAAACGUCNGUAGCCGGUUCGGCAAAUCUCUGGGCAAAUCGGGCAGCUCAACUGUUCGACUUCCAGAGAGACUACCGAACUAGGGACCGGGAGAGGUCAGAGGUACGUCGGGGGUAGGGGUAAAAUCCUUUAAUCCUCGGCGGACCACCGGUGGCGAAGGNGUCUGACUAGAACGGAUCCGACGGUAAGGGACGAAGGCUAGGGGCGCAAACCGGAUUAGAUACCCGGGUAGUCCUAGCNGUAAACGCUGCAGG